Molecule: transfer RNA, 85 nt
Filed under: Entomophthora muscae
Lineage: Eukaryota; Fungi; Entomophthoromycota; Entomophthoromycetes; Entomophthorales; Entomophthoraceae
Description: tRNA-Tyr
Rfam family: tRNA
About the family: Transfer RNA (tRNA) molecules are approximately 80 nucleotides in length. Their secondary structure includes four short double-helical elements and three loops (D, anti-codon, and T loops).
Source: RNAcentral
CCCUUUGUAGCUCAGUUGGAAGAGCGAAGGACUGUAAUUAAGAAAAGAUAUCCUUAGGUCCCUGGUUCGAUCCCAGGCGAAGGGA